Molecule: ribosomal RNA, 529 nt
Filed under: Pelophylax bedriagae (Levant water frog)
Lineage: Eukaryota; Metazoa; Chordata; Amphibia; Anura; Ranidae
Description: partial large subunit ribosomal RNA
Rfam family: Bacterial large subunit ribosomal RNA
Source: RNAcentral
UGACAAAGUUUAACGGCCGCGGUACCCUAACCGUGCGAAGGUAGCAUAAUCACUUGUUCUUUAAAUAGGGACUCGUAUCAACGGCAUCACGAGGGCUAUACUGUCUCCUUUCUCCAAUCAGUGAAACUGAUCUUCCCGUGAAGAAGCGGGAAUUAUUAUAUAAGACGAGAAGACCCCAUGGAGCUUUAAACUCAAUAUAUAUUUCUACGCACUUAUAUCACUAUUAGCCUAAGAAAACUAUGUAUUAGUUUUGGGUUGGGGGGACCGCGGAGAAAAAAUUAACCUCCACGACAAAUAGGCCAACGCCUUUAUCUAUGAACCACAAUUCUAAGAAUCAAUAAACUGAUGCUUAAUGAUCCAAUUUUUUGAUCAACGGACCAAGUUACCCUGGGGAUAACAGCGCAAUCUACUUCAAGAGCUCCUAUCGACAAGUGGGUUUACGACCUCGAUGUUGGAUCAGGGUAUCCUAGUGGUGCAGCCGCUACUAAAGGUUCGUUUGUUCAACGAUUAAAACCCUACGUGAUCUGAU